UACGUAGGGUGCAAGCGUUUGUCCGGAAUUAUUGGGCGUAAAGAGCUCGUAGGCGGUUUGUCGCGUCUGCCGUGAAAAUCCGAGGCUCAACCUCGGACUUGCAGUGGGUACGGGCAGACUAGAGUGUGGUAGGGGAGACUGGAAGUUCCUGGUGUAGCGGUGAAAUGCGCAGAUAUCAGGAGGAACACCGAUGGCGAAGGCAGGUCUCUGGGCAUUAAACUGACGCU
This 227-nucleotide ribosomal RNA is filed under the name uncultured bacterium. Its description in RNAcentral is "partial 16S ribosomal RNA". It matches the Rfam family "Bacterial small subunit ribosomal RNA", at positions 524 to 747 of the family's 1533-position model. The record is from RNAcentral.